CCGAAAUCUGCGCCGGAACCAAGCGGCAUCCAACAUUUGUCAAAGCCAUGCUCACCGCCACGGACCGUAAACCCCUGAACGGAGGGUAGCUAGUGGCAUCAGCUACUGCUGUAAACGCUGUAAACCCGUAGUUCAGGAGAUUGGGGUCGGUGGCGGCGAGCAUGGCUGUGACAAAUGUUGGAUGCCGCUUGGUUCCGGCGCAGAUUUCGG
Molecule: microRNA precursor, 210 nt
Filed under: Ectocarpus siliculosus
Lineage: Eukaryota; Phaeophyceae; Ectocarpales; Ectocarpaceae
Description: MIR8622 microRNA precursor family
Rfam family: MIR8622 microRNA precursor family
Source: Rfam by way of RNAcentral